Molecule: ribosomal RNA, 428 nt
Filed under: uncultured prokaryote
Description: bacterial SSU rRNA
Rfam family: Bacterial small subunit ribosomal RNA
Source: RNAcentral
UCGAGAAUCUUUCGCAAUGGGGGAAACCCUGACGAAGCGACGCCGCGUGAGCGAUGAAGGUCUUCGGAUUGUAAAGCUCUGUCACAAGGGACGAACGUCCCGCAGUAAAUAAUUGCGGGACUUGACGGUACCUUGAGAGGAAGCCCCGGCUAACUCUGUGCCAGCAGCCGCGGUAAUACAGAGGGGGCCAGCGUUGUUCGGAUUUACUGGGUGUAAAGGGGGCGUAGGCUGUCUUGUAAGUUAGAUGUGAAAUCUCAAGGCUUAACCUUGAAACUGCAUUUAAUACUGCUUGACUAGAGUACGAAAGAGGGAGAUGGAAUUCUCGGGGUAAGAGUGAAAUCUGCAGAUAUCGAGAGGAACACCAGUAGCGAAGGCGAUCUCCUGGGUCGAUACUGACGCUGAGUGCACGAAAGCUAGGGGAGCAAACG